This 75-nucleotide transfer RNA is filed under the name uncultured Rhodoluna sp. RNAcentral describes it as "tRNA-Leu". It matches the Rfam family "tRNA". From Rfam's summary of the family: Transfer RNA (tRNA) molecules are approximately 80 nucleotides in length. Their secondary structure includes four short double-helical elements and three loops (D, anti-codon, and T loops). The record is from RNAcentral. Lineage: Bacteria; Bacillati; Actinomycetota; Actinomycetes; Micrococcales; Microbacteriaceae.
GCCCCUUUAGCCCAAUGGCAGAGGCAGACGACUUAAAAUCGUCACAGUGUGGGUUCGAGUCCCACAAGGGGCACC